This 27-nucleotide non-coding RNA is filed under the name Rattus norvegicus (Norway rat). The record is from RNAcentral. Lineage: Eukaryota; Metazoa; Chordata; Mammalia; Rodentia; Muridae.
UUUUUAGCAUAAAAGAAAUCUGGGCCU